UUUCACAUAGCGAAAUUUCGAUUGGUAAAAUUCUUUUGGUUUAAACACAAACACGUUACAGCCGUCUUUUAUAAUUUACAAUAAAUAUAAAAAUAAGAAGAUGUGGUUUCAUUGCCAAUCAGGCAACUAUCGACAACAGACUCAACAUUCCCAAUGACACAGAAAUUACAAGUAUCGGUCACCGUACGGUCUUCAGCAAUGAGUAAAAUCUAUACCGCAUAGUCCGCUACAAAAAGCCGCGAUGUAAAACAUUUCAAUCGAGAAAACUAGUGGCCUGAUUUAUGAACAAAACAAUGAACGAAAAACAAAAAUGUUAUUCUACAAACGACAAC
Molecule: long non-coding RNA, 332 nt
Filed under: Mytilus galloprovincialis (Mediterranean mussel)
Lineage: Eukaryota; Metazoa; Mollusca; Bivalvia; Mytilida; Mytilidae
Source: RNAcentral